RNAcentral lists this long non-coding RNA (1751 nucleotides) under Homo sapiens (human). RNAcentral's name for it is "non-protein coding lnc-LMF1-3:3". The record is from RNAcentral. Lineage: Eukaryota; Metazoa; Chordata; Mammalia; Primates; Hominidae.
CUCUCUCUCUCUCUCACACACACACACACACACACAGCCCGUCUCGCGCCUGAGGUCUCGCCCGCAGGCCGGUGGCGCGGGGUCAGCUGCUGCCUGCGGUCCAGGACAGGGUCGGUUCCGCCGCGCAGCGCCCAGGCCCAGCUCGUCCAGAGUCUGCGGACAGCGCACGUCCAGACAUCGCCCACUCGGGCUCACAGUGCCAUCCGGGUGAGGACCUCCGUGGAGAGCUCUCUUUGCCAAAGAAAAGCAGUUGCAUUAGGUCUGCGAGCAGGCAGGGUGGCCUCUUCCUGGCUCCCCAUCCACCAAGGAAGCUUCAAGUCCCUGGGACACAGGCACUUUCCCACACAGGAUGGAGCCGGGCCACCCUCACAGCUCCUGCCCUGCAGACGCUGGCCUUGUGGAGGGAGGCAGGCAGCAGGAGCAGUGCUUUCUGGGCCUCUGUAGCCAGAGCUGGCCCUGCUGCAGCUUACGUCUGCCUGCAGCCCAGACGUCCUCCUGGUCCUCCUGAUGCCCCCGACCUCCACGGAGGACGAGCAUUUCCAGCCCAGCCCUCCCCAUCUUCACCUCGCACUCCCCUGACACACUGGGAGCCUCCUGAUCCGUGAACCCGCGCUGGCGGGAGUAGCUACUGACCGCUGGGGACCCCUGCCCAGGCUGUUCGCAUGUGGAAAGGAUUCAGGGAGCAGGCGAUGCCCAAAGCGUGGAGACCAGCACUGCUCUCUCCCCAGUGACAGGUGCACGCCCAGAUCACGGAUGUGUCGGGAACAGCUGUGCUCCUGCUGCUCAGCGUCCGUCACUCCAGGCUGGGAGCGGGUCCCCAAGCUUCUGGCUGGGCCUAUCCGUCUCCACUCUCAGUGUGGGGGUGGGGGGCGCCAACAGCACGCAUUUGCUCUCUGCACUUCUCGUCUGAUAAUGGGCAGAGGGUCCUUCUGCAGCCCCAAAACAUCCCUAGGCAGGAGCCCUGGGGCCCCAAGCAGCCAGGGAGGUGAGCACCAAGGACCUCCCAGAGAGCGUCACCUUCCGUCGAGGGAGGCCCAGCCUGGGGGCGGUGUCUGAGACUUGGAAUCAACGCUUCCGUUGGUGGCAGUAAAUCCUGUCCCUAACCCUGCAGUACAGCUGUGCCGUGUACAGGAGGGUGCUGUCUGACGCCAGACACCUGGACUACAGAUCGCAGCCUGAUUCCUGGUCAUUGCUCCACUGAACCCCAGACCCCAGCCUCGUUCUGGGCCCUCAUCCCCUAGAUCCAGGGACCCCAGCCCCAUUUCAGCCCUUGGGCCCUUGUAGGAUGCGAGGCCCUGGGCCCCAGCCCCCAGCCCAUCCGUGGCCCAGGCACUGGGGGGCUGAGGUCCUCUGAGAAGGGACACAGGGCCUGGGGGGCUCUCUCAGCCCAUCAGCAGGAGAGGACUGACUCCAGAAAAAUCAGCGUUUGUACCCACUCAGGCUGCCAAGACCUGUGUCCGUCCUUCCAAGCUCAACCUUCAGAGUUCAUGAGGCCCCUUGCCCAGAAUGUCCACAGAGUUCAUGAGGCCCCUUGCCCGGAAUGUCCACAUUUGAAACCUCCCAACACCGAGCCCCAUUUCAAGUAUAACCAGGAGGGAAAAUGGUGCUUGAAAUAAGCAUGCCACAAAGGAAAACCUGCUUUCUCGAAAUGGGCCCUGGCCGCCCAGGCCCUGACCUCCCCGGCCAGGAUGGAACGUUCCAGAGACCCAUUAGUGCCAAAGGCAAAUGAAAACACACCCUGUGAAAAUGUC